Molecule: long non-coding RNA, 174 nt
Organism: Camponotus floridanus (Florida carpenter ant)
Lineage: Eukaryota; Metazoa; Arthropoda; Insecta; Hymenoptera; Formicidae
Exons: 3
Source: RefSeq, a predicted model, not a curated record
UUCGGACUUUAUCUUGUAAUUUCGUGCAGUGUGCAGUGUGCUACAUGUAUUUUGCAAUAAAAAGAUUACAAAAGCACAGUGCUACAUAAUUAUAUUAAUAAUUGGGUGUUAUUGAAUGAUUUAUCAAAGUCACUCACGUAUCACAAUAAAAGUUUUAGACGAAACUAAAGAAUA